Molecule: ribosomal RNA, 465 nt
Filed under: Vreelandella stevensii
Lineage: Bacteria; Pseudomonadati; Pseudomonadota; Gammaproteobacteria; Oceanospirillales; Halomonadaceae
Description: partial 16S ribosomal RNA
Rfam family: Bacterial small subunit ribosomal RNA
Source: RNAcentral
CCUACGGGUGGCAACAGUGGGGAAUAUUGGACAAUGGGGGCAACCCUGAUCCAGCCAUGCCGCGUGUGUGAAGAAGGCCCUCGGGUUGUAAAGCACUUUCAGUGAGGAAGAACGCCUGGUGGUUAAUACCCAUCAGGAAAGACAUCACUCACAGAAGAAGCACCGGCUAACUCCGUGCCAGCAGCCGCGGUAAUACGGAGGGUGCGAGCGUUAAUCGGAAUUACUGGGCGUAAAGCGCGCGUAGGUGGCUUGAUAAGCCGGUUGUGAAAGCCCCGGGCUCAACCUGGGAACGGCAUCCGGAACUGUCAAGCUAGAGUGCAGGAGAGGAAGGUAGAAUUCCCGGUGUAGCGGUGAAAUGCGUAGAAAUCGGGAGGAAUACCAGUGGCGAAGGCGGCCUUCUGGACUGACACUGACACUGAGGUGCGAAAGCGUGGGUAGCAAACAGGAUUAGAUACCCUAGUAGUC